This 362-nucleotide unclassified non-coding RNA is filed under the name uncultured bacterium. Its description in RNAcentral is "contains 16S-23S intergenic spacer region". The record is from RNAcentral.
UCUGCGUUUCGCGCAGCGGUCUCGCUAGAGAGUUUCAACUAGCGACGGGGGUUGCGCUCGUUGCGGGACUUAACCCAACAUCUCACGACACGAGCUGACGACAGCCAUGCACCACCUGCACACAGGCCACAAGGGAAACCACAUCUCUGUGAUCGUCCUGUGCAUGUCAAACCCAGGUAAGGUUCUUCGCGUUGCAUCGAAUUAAUCCACAUGCUCCGCCGCUUGUGCGGGCCCCCGUCAAUUUCUUUGAGUUUUAACCUUGCGGCCGUAGUCCCCAGGCGGUGAACUUAAUGCGUUAGCUGCGGCACUGAUCGGGUCAAUCCGACCAACACCUAGUUCACAACGUUUAGGGCGUGGACUAC